UGUUAAAAAUUCUAUUCAUUUUUACUAUUAAAAAUUGGCAUCGCUGACUGAAUAAUCAGAUAGAUACACAUUCAUUUUGGUGUAAAAAGAUCAAUUUUUAACAGUAAAAAUACAAGAAAUAUUUAACA
This 128-nucleotide microRNA precursor is filed under the name Gossypium arboreum. RNAcentral describes it as "MIR7502 microRNA precursor family". It matches the Rfam family "MIR7502 microRNA precursor family". The record is from Rfam by way of RNAcentral. Lineage: Eukaryota; Viridiplantae; Streptophyta; Magnoliopsida; Malvales; Malvaceae. RNAcentral also lists the same sequence under 1 other name.